GUCGAGCGAAGUGCUUAGGAUGAUCUAUUCGUAGUGACUCCUAAGUAUCUUAGCGGCGGACGGGUGAGUAACGCGUGAGAAACCUGCCUUUCACAAAGGAAUAGCCUCGGGAAACUGGGAUUAAUACCUUAUGAUACCUAAGCUCCACAUGGAGCCUAGGUUAAAGCGUAAAGCGGUGAAAGAUGGUCUCGCGUCCCAUUAGUUAGUUGGUGAGGUAAAGGCUCACCAAGACCAUGAUGGGUAACCGGCCUGAGAGGGUGAACGGUCACACUGGAACUGAGACACGGUCCAGACUCCUACGGGAGGCAGCAGUGGGGAAUAUUGCACAAUGGAGGAAACUCUGAUGCAGCGACGCCGCGUGAAUGAUGAAGGUCUUCGGAUCGUAAAAUUCUGUCCUAGGGGACGAUAAUGACGGUACCCUAGGAGGAAGCCCCGGCUAACUAUGUGCCAGCAGCCGCGGUAAUACAUAGGGGGCAAGCGUUGUCCGGAUUUAUUGGGCGUAAAGGGUACGCAGGCGGUCCUUUAAGUCAGAUGUGAAAUCUUACGGCUCAACCGUAAUUAGCAUUUGAAACUGGAGGACUUGAGUUAAGGAGAGGAAAGUGGAAUUCCUAGUGUAGCGGUGAAAUGCGUAGAUAUUAGGAGGAAUACCAGUGGCGAAGGCGACUUUCUGGACUUAUACUGACGCUGAGGUACGAAAGCGUGGGGAGCAAACAGGAUUAGAUACCCUGGUAGUCCACGCUGUAAACGAUGAGAAAGAGGUGUCGGGGGUCAAACCUCGGUGCCGGAGUUAACGCAUUAAGCACUCCGCUCUGGGGAGAACG
Molecule: ribosomal RNA, 821 nt
Filed under: uncultured bacterium
Lineage: Bacteria
Description: bacterial SSU rRNA
Rfam family: Bacterial small subunit ribosomal RNA
Source: RNAcentral